This 223-nucleotide ribosomal RNA is filed under the name Leptospira borgpetersenii serovar Tarassovi. RNAcentral's name for it is "partial 23S ribosomal RNA". It matches the Rfam family "Bacterial large subunit ribosomal RNA", at positions 1 to 242 of the family's 2925-position model. The record is from RNAcentral. Lineage: Bacteria; Pseudomonadati; Spirochaetota; Leptospiria; Leptospirales; Leptospiraceae.
GGUCAAGUAAGAAAGGGCGUACGGGGGAUGCCCGGGCAUCAGGACGCGAUGAAGGACGUGGCUUUCUGCGAUAAGCGACGGGGAGUUGUAAGCAAGCAUUGAUCCGUUGAUUUCCGAAUGGGGCAACCCUCUCAGGUAACUCUGAGAACGCAAAUGCGAGCAAAGUCGGGGAAUUGAAACAUCUUAGUACCCGGAAUAAAAGAAAGUAAAAACGAUUCCGUCA